GGAUUAGAUACCCUGGUAGUCCUAGCUGUAAACGAUGGAUACUAGACGUAGGAACUGGAUUGACGGUUUCUGUGUCGCAGCUAACGCGUUAAGUAUCCCGCCUGGGGAGUACGGUCGCAAGACUAAAACUCAAAGGAAUUGACGGGGACCCGCACAAGUAGUGGAGCAUGUGGUUUAAUUCGAAGAUACGCGCAGAACCUUACCAACACUUGACAUGUUCGUCGCGGCUCUAAGAGAUUAGAGCUUUCGGUUCGGCCGGACGAAACACAGGUGCUGCAUGGCUGUCGUCAGCUCGUGUCG
Molecule: ribosomal RNA, 300 nt
Filed under: uncultured bacterium
Lineage: Bacteria
Description: bacterial SSU rRNA
Rfam family: Bacterial small subunit ribosomal RNA
Source: RNAcentral